GACGAACGCUGGCGGCGUGCUUAACACAUGCAAGUCGUACGGUAAGGCCCUUUCGGGGGUCCACGAGUGGCGAACGGGUGAGUAACACGUGAGUAACCUGCCCACAACUUUGGGAUAACGCUAGGAAACUGGUGCUAAUACUGGAUAUGUGCUCCUGCUGCAUGGUGGGGGUUGGAAAGCUCCGGCGGUUGUGGAUGGACUCGCGGCCUAUCAGCUUGUUGGUGGGGUAGUGGCCUACCAAGGCGGCGACGGGUAGCCGGCCUGAGAGGGUGACCGGCCACAUUGGGACUGAGAUACGGCCCAGACUCCUACGGGAGGCAGCAGUGGGGAAUAUUGCACAAUGGGCGCAAGCCUGAUGCAGCAACGCCGCGUGCGGGAUGACGGCCUUCGGGUUGUAAACCGCUUUCAGCAGGGACGAAGCUUUUUGUGACGGUACCUGCAGAAGAAGCACCGGUUAACUACGUG
Molecule: ribosomal RNA, 465 nt
Filed under: uncultured bacterium
Lineage: Bacteria
Description: partial 16S ribosomal RNA
Rfam family: Bacterial small subunit ribosomal RNA
Source: RNAcentral